UCUAACCUACGGGGCGCAGCAGUGGGGAAUAUUGGGCAAUGGGCGCAAGCCUGACCCAGCAACGCCGCGUGAAGGAAGAAGGCUUUCGGGUUGUAAACUUCUUUUCUGAGGGACGAAGAAAGUGACGGUACCUCAGGAAUAAGCCACGGCUAACUACGUGCCAGCAGCCGCGGUAAUACGUAGGUGGCAAGCGUUAUCCGGAUUUAUUGGGUGUAAAGGGCGGGUAGGCGGGAAUGCAAGUCAGAUGUGAAAAAUAUGGGCUCAACCCAAAGCCUGCAUUUGAAACUGGAUUUCUUGAGUGCUGG
RNAcentral lists this ribosomal RNA (305 nucleotides) under uncultured bacterium. RNAcentral's name for it is "bacterial SSU rRNA". It matches the Rfam family "Bacterial small subunit ribosomal RNA", at positions 331 to 652 of the family's 1533-position model. The record is from RNAcentral.